UGUUAAAAAUUUUACUUAUUUGUACUAUUAAAAACUGGUAUGCUUGACGGAAUAACCAGAUAGUGACGGCAUGUUAAUUUACAAAGAUCGAUUUUAAAUAGUAGAAAUGAAUAGAAUUUUUAAUA
This 125-nucleotide microRNA precursor is filed under the name Gossypium hirsutum (cotton). RNAcentral's name for it is "MIR7502 microRNA precursor family". It matches the Rfam family "MIR7502 microRNA precursor family". Lineage: Eukaryota; Viridiplantae; Streptophyta; Magnoliopsida; Malvales; Malvaceae. The record is from Rfam by way of RNAcentral.